GGAGGUGCCAGUCCCACUGGGUGGGCGGAGGGGCAGUCCGCGUUGGGGUCUGCGUUGCCUGGGCUGAGCCUGAGGGAGCCGUGGGUGGGGAUGUGAAGUAAUGGGAUCUCUAAUUUCUGAAGACUUUGCUGGAGGCUCUGGAGACAAGUGUGGGCCAUUAAACUAGGUGACACCGUUAGGGCAUUUUGAAGCCAAGGAGACUGGGUAUCUCUGGAGCCUUUCUGCCCAGCUCCCAUUUUUACUAUUUUCCUAGGGCAGAUGUAACAAUUUACCACAAAUAUGGAGUUUACAAUAACAGAAAUGUGUUCUCUUGCAGUUCUGAAGAACAGAAGUCAGAAAUCAAGAUGUUGGCAGGUUGGGUUCCUUCUGGAGGCCCAGAGGGAGAAUCAGUUCCACACUUUUCUCCCAGCUUCUGGUGGCUGCUCACAACCCAUGGAAUACCUUGACUUGUAGACACACCUAUUCCCACUCUUUCCAUCUUCAAAUGACAUCUCCAGGUGUCAUCUCCUCUUCUUAAAAGUAUAGCAGUCAUUGGACUUAGGCCCUGCUCCCAAAUACAGGAUGAUUUCUUCUUGAGAGAUUGGAUGAUACCUGCAAAGGCCUUAUUUCAAAUAAAGUCCC
RNAcentral lists this long non-coding RNA (621 nucleotides) under Marmota monax (woodchuck). The record is from RNAcentral. Lineage: Eukaryota; Metazoa; Chordata; Mammalia; Rodentia; Sciuridae.